RNAcentral lists this long non-coding RNA (895 nucleotides) under Pomacea canaliculata. Its description in RNAcentral is "uncharacterized LOC112567856, transcript variant X3". The record is from RNAcentral. Lineage: Eukaryota; Metazoa; Mollusca; Gastropoda; Architaenioglossa; Ampullariidae.
CCAGCCUGCAUAAGCUUUCAGAUUUUGAAGGGCCCCGAUCGGGGGGACGGGUGAAAGUAAGGGCUACGGGCUAUCCCGCUCCUAACUGACCGAACGCCCAUAGGGCGUAGCCGUUACGCGCUGACAGUGACCCGUAUGUCGGACUUUUCACUCCGCCCUCUGACCUCGCGCCCGCAUUUGCUGACCUGCUGUCGGACUCCACACUGGCCGCCCGAUGGGCUUCUACCUGCAACAACCGCUUUGGUCAUCGCACUCUCGGAAAUGCUGAAGAUCGGGGAUCGUGCUUAGUCAAAGCAUUGUAAUAAUGCCGACUACAAAACAGUCAACAGAUAACUCCACAGCGUGGCUGAAGAUGAGCCAAGCUGAAUGUAUAGUGAUAUUCAAGAUCCUGAAAGGGUUGUAAGAAAAUCAACUGACAUGGUAUAUGACGAGACUGGUUAUUCCCAAUCUGGAAUGAGUGGAAUUAUAAAAGAAGAACUAAAAUAUUUCAUCACUCUGCAUAUGAAACAGGAUUAUUGCUGUACCACAGCAGCCUGGGGAUAUUAUAUCUGCCACUGCUUACAAAUAGUUUGGAAGUAACUGGCAAGAAUGGAGGAACAAGUCCAAGGACAAAGCCAUCUGAUGAUGGGUCAUGCUGUUGAGGAGCACAGAGAAAUGUUUCGAAGCUUGCUCCACAUAUGAAUCAAGUUACGAAAUGUAGGUGAACAAGGAAUGACUCCAGCAGCAAUCCCAUGUUUCAGGUGAGAAAUUUGAUAGGCUGGAAGAGGAAUCUGUGUGUAGAGAAUUUAGGGGGGAAAGUGGCUGUUGUGAAAUCUAAUUAAAGCUUUUUUCGCAACAACUAGCCUGAAGACUUUGAAGACUCAAAUUCUUUGUUGUAAAUAAAUGUUAAAACCAU